Molecule: ribosomal RNA, 450 nt
Filed under: uncultured bacterium
Lineage: Bacteria
Description: bacterial SSU rRNA
Rfam family: Bacterial small subunit ribosomal RNA
Source: RNAcentral
GUGGGGAAUCUUGCACAAUGGGCGAAAGCCUGAUGCAGCCAUGCCGCGUGUGUGAAGAAGGCCUUCGGGUUGUAAAGCACUUUAAGUGGGGAGAAAAGGGUAGUCGUUAAUAGCGGCUAUCUGUGAUGUUACCCACAGAAUAAGCACCGGCAAACUUCGUGCCAGCAGCCGCGGUAAUACGAAGGGUGCGAGCGUUAAUCGGAAUUACUGGGCGUAAAGAGCACGUAGGCGGUUUGAUAAGCGGAAUGUGAAAUCCCCGGGCUUAACCUGGGAACUGCAUUCCGAACUGUCAGGCUAGAGUAUGAUAGAGGUGAGCGGAAUUUCCUGUGUAGCGGUGAAAUGCGUAGAUAUAGGAAGGAACAUCAGUUGCGAAGGCGGCUCACUGGAUCAAUACUGACGCUGAGGUGCGAAAGCGUGGGUAGCGAACAGGAUUAGAAACCCCUGUAGUCC